AUUGAACGCUGGCGGCAUGCCUUACACUUGCAAGUCGAACGGCAGCACGGAGCUUGCUCUGGUGGCGAGUGGCGAACGGGUGAGUAAUAUAUCGGAACGUACCCUAGAGUGGGGGAUAACGUAGCGAAAGUUACGCUAAUACCGCAUACGAUCUAAGGAUGAAAGUGGGGGAUCGCAAGACCUCAUGCUCGUGGAGCGGCCGAUAUCUGAUUAGCUAGUUGGUAGGGUAAAAGCCUACCAAGGCAUCGAUCAGUAGCUGGUCUGAGAGGACGACCAGCCACACUGGAACUGAGACACGGUCCAGACUCCUACGGGAGGCAGCAGUGGGGAAUUUUGGACAAUGGGCGAAAGCCUGAUCCAGCAAUGCCGCGUGAGUGAAGAAGGCCUUCGGGUUGUAAAGCUCUUUUGUCAGGGAAGAAACGGUGAGAGCUAAUAUCUCUUGCUAAUGACGGUACCUGAAGAAUAAGCACCGGCUAACUACGUGCCAGCAGCCGCGGUAAUACGUAGGGUGCAAGCGUUAAUCGGAAUUACUGGGCGUAAAGCGUGCGCAGGCGGUUUUGUAAGUCUGAUGUGAAAUCCCCGGGCUCAACCUGGGAAUUGCAUUGGAGACUGCAAGGCUAGAAUCUGGCAGAGGGGGGUAGAAUUCCACGUGUAGCAGUGAAAUGCGUAGAUAUGUGGAGGAACACCGAGGGCGAAGGGCAGCCCCCUGGGUCAAGAUUGACGCUCAUGCACGAAAGCGUGGGGAGCAAACAGGAUUAGAUACCCUGGUAGUCCACGCCUUAAACGAUGUCUACUAGUUGUCGGGUCUUAAUUGACUUGGUAACGCAGCUAACGCGUGAAGUAGACCGCCUGGGGAGUACGGUCGCAAGAUUAAAACUCAAAGGAAUUGACGGGGACCCGCACAAGCGGUGGAUGAUGUGGAUUAAUUCGAUGCAACGCGAAAAACCUUACCUACCCUUGACGUGGCUGGAAUCCCCGAGAGAUUGGGGAGUGCUCGAAAGAGAACCAGUACACAGGUGCUGCAUGGCUGUCGUCAGCUCGUGUCGUGAGAUGUUGGGUUAAGUCCCGCAACGAGCGCAACCCUUGUCAUUAGUUGCUACGAAAGGGCACUCUAAUGAGACUGCCGGUGACAAACCGGAGGAAGGUGGGGAUGACGUCAAGUCCUCAUGGCCCUUAUGGGUAGGGCUUCACACGUCAUACAAUGGUACAUACAGAGCGCCGCCAACCCGCGAGGGGGAGCUAAUCGCAGAAAGUGUAUCGUAGUCCGGAUUGUAGUCUGCAACUCGACUGCAUGAAGUUGGAAUCGCUAGUAAUCGCGGAUCAGCAUGUCGCGGUGAAUACGUUAAAGGGUCU
RNAcentral lists this ribosomal RNA (1353 nucleotides) under uncultured bacterium. Its description in RNAcentral is "bacterial SSU rRNA". It matches the Rfam family "Bacterial small subunit ribosomal RNA", at positions 28 to 1381 of the family's 1533-position model. The record is from RNAcentral.